Molecule: ribosomal RNA, 358 nt
Filed under: uncultured bacterium
Lineage: Bacteria
Description: bacterial SSU rRNA
Rfam family: Bacterial small subunit ribosomal RNA
Source: RNAcentral
AGCGAACGCUGGCGGCAUGCCUAACACAUGCAAGUCGAACGAGACUUCGGUCUAGUGGCGGACGGGUGAGUAACGCGUAGGAACCUGCCAAGCAGUGGGGAAUAACAGCUGGAAACGGCUGCUAAUACCGCAUUCGCCCUUCGGGGAAAGAUUUAUCGCUGUUUGAGGGUCCUGCGUUCGAUUAGCUAGUUGGUGAGGUAACGGCCCACCAAGGCGACGAUCGAUAGCUGGUCUGAGAGGAUGAUCAGCCACACUGGGACUGAGACACGGCCCAGACUCCUACGGGAGGCAGCAGUGGGGAAUAUUGGACAAUGGGGGAAACCCUGAUCCAGCAAUGCCGCGUAGCGUGAAGAAGGCC